UCGAGCGGAACGAUGGGAGCUUGCUCCCAGGCGUCGAGCGGCGGACGGGUGAGUAACACGUGGGAAUCUGCCCAUUAGUGGGGGAUAACUCGGGGAAACUCGAGCUAAUACCGCAUAAUCCCUACGGGGGAAAGCAGGGGAUCUUCGGACCUUGCGCUGAUGGAUGAGCCCGCGUCGGAUUAGCUUGUUGGUGGGGUAAUGGCCCACCAAGGCGACGAUCCGUAACUGGUCUGAGAGGAUGGCCAGUCACACCGGGACUGAGACACGGCCCGGACUCCUACGGGAGGCAGCAGUGGGGAAUCUUGGACAAUGGGCGCAAGCCUGAUCCAGCCAUGCCGCGUGUGUGAAGAAGGCCUUCGGGUUGUAAAGCACUUUCAGUAGGGAGGAAGGCUUUGGGCUAAUACCCUGGAGUACUUGACGUUACCUACAGAAGAAGCACCGGCUAAUUUCGUGCCAGCAGCCGCGGUAAUACGAAAGGUGCGAGCGUUAAUCGGAAUUACUGGGCGUAAAGCGCGCGUAGGCGGUGUGUUAAGUCGGAUGUGAAAGCCCAGGGCUCAACCUUGGAAUUGCAUCCGAUACUGGCACGCUAGAGUGCAGUAGAGGGAGGUGGAAUUUCCGGUGUAGCGGUGAAAUGCGUAGAGAUCGGAAGGAACACCAGUGGCG
This 663-nucleotide ribosomal RNA is filed under the name Alcanivorax sp. EPR177. RNAcentral describes it as "bacterial SSU rRNA". It matches the Rfam family "Bacterial small subunit ribosomal RNA", at positions 62 to 717 of the family's 1533-position model. Lineage: Bacteria; Pseudomonadati; Pseudomonadota; Gammaproteobacteria; Oceanospirillales; Alcanivoracaceae. The record is from RNAcentral.